RNAcentral lists this long non-coding RNA (1613 nucleotides) under Mytilus galloprovincialis (Mediterranean mussel). The record is from RNAcentral. Lineage: Eukaryota; Metazoa; Mollusca; Bivalvia; Mytilida; Mytilidae.
AAUUUAUUUAUCAUAAUCUAUUCUCCAUUAUGAUGGACUGUGAACUAAACAUAAAUAAAUGAUAUAUCAAUUAUUAAAACACUGAAAAAAUGCACCUUUAAUACUAUAUAGUUAUUAAAACCAUGUUUCUUUACAUUUUUGUGAAAUUAACAAUGUUUUCAUAAUGUAAAAAAUAUCCUAUAUGUCCAUUUUCAAGUUCUAAGAUCCUUUAUCCAUUUAUUUAAAGAUUUUGCCAAGCAAUCCAAAUAUUACCUCCCUUACAUUUUCAUUAUUUGCAAAAAAAAUUAUAAUCCUUGCUGAUGAAUUGUUUUAUCAUUUUAAUGCUGACUUGUCUCAACACAUUUUCUAGAUUCACUUAUUUUCCAACCAUAUUUAAAUAGUUAAAAAAAGGUUCCUAAAAGAUUGAAGAUGUAAAAAAAAGUGUAUUAUGCUUUCUUCAUUUUUCGAUUAUUUUAAUGAAAUCUAUAUACAUGUACUUUCUUGCAAGAAAUGUUAAAAUUAAGAAAACACUUGUUAUUUUUUAUAUCUAUGGUAAACAUCCUAUAUUUUCUGAUUCUAGGAGGUUGUUUUUUUCGUCUACAUUGCACAGGUUUUACAGACAAAUUAUAUGUAUGUAUCCAAACACAAUAUCUUUUUUAAAAGAUUUUUCAUGUAAUAAAGAUUAAUAUAUCCAACAGAAAAAUGGACUUUGAUAUAUUGAAACAGCAACUUCAAUGUACAAAAAUGUAGUUUCUGAACAUUCUCUUAAAUGAAGUAAGAAAAUUUUGAGCAAUGAUUAAAUUUCAAGAAUGUGUAUACCAUACUUUAUGAUUCAACAUUAUGUCUUCGAAAAUAAUUUCAUUUAUUUACAGCAGAAAAAAAAACAGUUUGAUGUCUUUAUACAGUAUUUUGUAAAUUACAGCUGUUUAAAAUCAAGGUUAAUUAGAAGUGAUCAAUUUCUUGACUGACUGUCUGAAAUUAUCUGUGCAACUGUAAACAUCAUUAAAAUGAGUUUCAAAAUGUAUGAUUUAAAAAAAAAUAACCCUGUAAGUUGCAUUGGAACUGAAACACCGGCAUUGUAUCUUAAGAUUUGCAGACCUCAAUUUCUUUUUGAUGGUUGCAAAUAUACCUUUACUGGAUCCAAUUACAUGUCUCCAAUAAACUAAAUUUGUAACAAUCAAAUUGCAAAUUGAUGCCCCCGAAAUCUUUACAUACAAUACUGUUAUCUCAUUAUAGUACAAUGUUUUAAUUAGACUAUGAAUAUAAAGACAUUCUUAGUCAGUUGUAAAUGAUAAAAUUAUAUAUGACACAUUUUCUGAGGCGAAUAUAUACAAAGUUAAUUAUUAUUUCUUAGUUGAAGGAGUGCAAAACAAAUACAUUUAGCCAAGACAUAAUUUAUACAUAACAAAUCAUGCAUAUACUUAUAAACACUAUAAAACAACUGUUUCAAUCUUUACAAUAUUAAAUAAAACUUAAAUAAGAAAGAUGAAAAUAAAAUAUUAAAGCCAUUCAAAACAAGUUACCCGUUGUCUUGUGACCAAUUCUUUGGUAUAACACUACCUGCCUUAAGGUUUGCUUAGCUCUGUACAAAUUGUCUAAAAAAAAAAUGCAGUGCAGUAUUAUUGUAAAGUAAA